RNAcentral lists this small RNA (1569 nucleotides) under Histoplasma capsulatum. RNAcentral describes it as "hypothetical RNA". RNAcentral also lists the same sequence under 1 other name. Lineage: Eukaryota; Fungi; Ascomycota; Eurotiomycetes; Onygenales; Ajellomycetaceae. The record is from RNAcentral.
UCCCCCAACGGGUUUGCAUCGUCGUCUCAAUAAUCGCGAUAACCCAGCACUACCAGAGAAGCUGUUUUUUGCCUGCAUCCAUGAUGUAAUUUAAGAACACAAAUGAUAGGCACGCUCCGUCGCGAUUCAUUCCGUGAAUAUUUCGCAUAUUAGAUGUUUGCACUGGUUUAGCACAACGUCAUCAUCAUGAAUUGCAAACUGAUACAGAUACCAACACCCCUCGGCUCAGGAAUAGCCUUCCAAUCUCUCGUCCCCCUGAGCUUCGAUAACCAGCAGGUCCUCUUCUUGUCGAUUACCUAGGCAUCAGCAUUUCACCGUUUUUAAGCCCGGCGACCUCACUCACCUAGACCACUUAGCACGAAAUUCAUCCCGGUUGCUUUGGUCGAUAUACAUAUCUGUACAGAUUACAAAGGCACAAGAUAGCGCGCUCCAUCUCGCUCCAUUCGCAAGGCUUCUCUCUCAAGUGGGAAACUAUAAAUAAAUCUAUGGCAAUACAAGCUUUCCUACCCGUAUAAUGAUUUCCUACCGAACCAAUUAGCUCAUUCAACUUUUCGAUGUAGUACGCCAUCAAAGAGAUAUUUAUUUCGCACCGGCCCGUACUUGCACCUUGGUUCGAAUCAAGAAGGCAUGAAUUCAAAAUCGUCACCGCCGUCAUCUGUGCAUUGCGGGCGCGUGGGUUAAAACCGUUUCGUAUUCACCAAGCACCUAAAAUCGCAGAUUUGCUGCGUCAGCGGUUGGCUGUCGUAUUUUGCGAUAGUGGUCGUCAGAACUCAAGCUUUUGGACUCUGCAACAGCAGCUUUUUCUUUUCAGCCGCCAAUCUCGUUCAGAAGAAAUUUCCGUUUGGGCUGAGUGACGCACCUCUCGGUCAUUCGUUGAUUGAAAAACUGCCCAUCAUCUCCUGUCAGCCACGAAAACGCGGUCGGUUAAGUUAGCUGCCGCCUAAUCAUCAAUAAUUGCUUGUCCAACAGCCCCGCUUCAUCUAAAUGAAAUGAGGGUAUAACGGAGGAAGAAUUUUCGGCAACUCAAAGUACACAUCGAGAGGUGUUGAAGUUGUGUGAACGAAAUAUCUUUUCCCCAGUAAUCUGUGAUGUAGUCUUCAGGUCCCGCAUACUUGUUGUUCUUAGUAACGGCAGCUUGUGUUUGUGGCGGGCUCCAUCAUGCAACGCCCAGGGAAGACUGAGGAAACCUUAAAUGCGAGCUCCAAAAAGAAAAAAGAGAGAGAAAAAACUUUCCUAGCAAAGCAAGCUGUUUUUUGAGUUUCCCUCUCCUCUGGUGCCCGAUGCAGAAACAUCAAGAAUCAAGAAGAGAAUGUGAAGGUGAAACAUCCGACGGACAUUGGUUUUCCCGACUCUCCUAAUUUCUAGACUUCGAAGCAGAUCUGAUCCCGAGGAUCGGGGUUCGGAAUUCAUCUCAUCCGCUUUGAUUCGAUGCUCUUCCAACCUUGGAAGGGGUUAAGUCGACAAAUUCUUAGUGCCUUAAAUAUAGUUAUAGGUGGGUCGGGUUACGGUGUGUUCGAACCUGACCCUCACAAUAACCAGAUUAUAUGCAGAGGCACAGUCACUCAGCCA